Molecule: ribosomal RNA, 302 nt
Filed under: uncultured bacterium
Lineage: Bacteria
Description: bacterial SSU rRNA
Rfam family: Bacterial small subunit ribosomal RNA
Source: RNAcentral
AUUGAACGCUGGCGGCAUGCCUUACACAUGCAAGUCGAACGGCAGCACGGGUCUCGGGCAACUGAGCCCUGGUGGCGAGUGGCGAACGGGUGAGUAAUGCAUCGGAACGUGCCCAGUAGUGGGGGAUAACUAGUCGAAAGAUUAGCUAAUACCGCAUACGACCUACGGGUGAAAGCGGGGGAUUUUCGGGCAACCGAGAACCUCGCGCUAUCGGAGCGGCCGAUGUCUGAUAGCUAGUUGGCGGGGGUAAAAGCCCACCAAGGCUUCGAUCAGUAGCUGGUCUGAGAGGACGACCAGCCACA